Molecule: ribosomal RNA, 2900 nt
Filed under: Klebsiella pneumoniae
Lineage: Bacteria; Pseudomonadati; Pseudomonadota; Gammaproteobacteria; Enterobacterales; Enterobacteriaceae
Also listed under: 2 other names
Description: 23S ribosomal RNA
Rfam family: Bacterial large subunit ribosomal RNA
Source: RNAcentral
UUAAGCGACUAAGCGUACACGGUGGAUGCCCUGGCAGUCAGAGGCGAUGAAGGACGUGCUAAUCUGCGAAAAGCGUCGGUAAGGUGAUAUGAACCGUUAUAACCGGCGAUGUCCGAAUGGGGAAACCCAGUGUGAUUCGUCACACUAUCGUUAACUGAAUACAUAGGUUAACGAGGCGAACCGGGGGAACUGAAACAUCUAAGUACCCCGAGGAAAAGAAAUCAACCGAGAUUCCCCCAGUAGCGGCGAGCGAACGGGGAGCAGCCCAGAGUCUGAAUCAGCUUGUGUGUUAGUGGAACGGUCUGGAAAGUCCGACGGUACAGGGUGAUAGUCCCGUACACCAAAAUGCACAGGCUGUGAACUCGAAGAGUAGGGCGGGACACGUGGUAUCCUGUCUGAAUAUGGGGGGACCAUCCUCCAAGGCUAAAUACUCCUGACUGACCGAUAGUGAACCAGUACCGUGAGGGAAAGGCGAAAAGAACCCCGGCGAGGGGAGUGAAAAAGAACCUGAAACCGUGUACGUACAAGCAGUGGGAGCACCUUCGGGUGUGACUGCGUACCUUUUGUAUAAUGGGUCAGCGACUUAUAUUCUGUAGCAAGGUUAACCGUAUAGGGGAGCCGCAGGGAAACCGAGUCUUAACUGGGCGUUAAGUUGCAGGGUAUAGACCCGAAACCCGGUGAUCUAGCCAUGGGCAGGUUGAAGGUUGGGUAACACUAACUGGAGGACCGAACCGACUAAUGUUGAAAAAUUAGCGGAUGACUUGUGGCUGGGGGUGAAAGGCCAAUCAAACCGGGAGAUAGCUGGUUCUCCCCGAAAGCUAUUUAGGUAGCGCCUCGUGAACUCAUCUUCGGGGGUAGAGCACUGUUUCGGCUAGGGGGUCAUCCCGACUUACCAACCCGAUGCAAACUACGAAUACCGAAGAAUGUUAUCACGGGAGACACACGGCGGGUGCUAACGUCCGUCGUGAAGAGGGAAACAACCCAGACCGCCAGCUAAGGUCCCAAAGUCAUGGUUAAGUGGGAAACGAUGUGGGAAGGCACAGACAGCCAGGAUGUUGGCUUAGAAGCAGCCAUCAUUUAAAGAAAGCGUAAUAGCUCACUGGUCGAGUCGGCCUGCGCGGAAGAUGUAACGGGGCUAAACCAUGCACCGAAGCUGCGGCAGCGACACUAUGUGUUGUUGGGUAGGGGAGCGUUCUGUAAGCCUGCGAAGGUGACCUGUGAGGGUUGCUGGAGGUAUCAGAAGUGCGAAUGCUGACAUAAGUAACGAUAAAGCGGGUGAAAAGCCCGCUCGCCGGAAGACCAAGGGUUCCUGUCCAACGUUAAUCGGGGCAGGGUGAGUCGACCCCUAAGGCGAGGCCGAAAGGCGUAGUCGAUGGGAAACAGGUUAAUAUUCCUGUACUUGGUGUUACUGCGAAGGGGGGACGGAGAAGGCUAUGUUAGCCGGGCGACGGUUGUCCCGGUUUAAGCAUGUAGGCUGGUUGUCCAGGCAAAUCCGGAUAAUCAAGGCUGAGGUGUGAUGACGAGGCACUACGGUGCUGAAGUAACAAAUGCCCUGCUUCCAGGAAAAGCCUCUAAGCAUCAGGUAACAUCAAAUCGUACCCCAAACCGACACAGGUGGUCAGGUAGAGAAUACCAAGGCGCUUGAGAGAACUCGGGUGAAGGAACUAGGCAAAAUGGUGCCGUAACUUCGGGAGAAGGCACGCUGGUGUGUAGGUGAAGCCCCUGCGGGUGGAGCUGAGACCAGUCGAAGAUACCAGCUGGCUGCAACUGUUUAUUAAAAACACAGCACUGUGCAAACACGAAAGUGGACGUAUACGGUGUGACGCCUGCCCGGUGCCGGAAGGUUAAUUGAUGGGGUUAUCCGUAAGGAGAAGCUCUUGAUCGAAGCCCCGGUAAACGGCGGCCGUAACUAUAACGGUCCUAAGGUAGCGAAAUUCCUUGUCGGGUAAGUUCCGACCUGCACGAAUGGCGUAAUGAUGGCCAGGCUGUCUCCACCCGAGACUCAGUGAAAUUGAACUCGCUGUGAAGAUGCAGUGUACCCGCGGCAAGACGGAAAGACCCCGUGAACCUUUACUAUAGCUUGACACUGAACAUUGAGCCUUGAUGUGUAGGAUAGGUGGGAGGCUUUGAAGCGUGGACGCCAGUCUGCGUGGAGCCAACCUUGAAAUACCACCCUUUAAUGUUUGAUGUUCUAACGUUGGCCCCUGACCGGGGUUGCGGACAGUGUCUGGUGGGUAGUUUGACUGGGGCGGUCUCCUCCCAAAGCGUAACGGAGGAGCACGAAGGUUAGCUAAUCCUGGUCGGACAUCAGGAGGUUAGUGCAAUGGCAUAAGCUAGCUUGACUGCGAGCGUGACGGCGCGAGCAGGUGCGAAAGCAGGUCAUAGUGAUCCGGUGGUUCUGAAUGGAAGGGCCAUCGCUCAACGGAUAAAAGGUACUCCGGGGAUAACAGGCUGAUACCGCCCAAGAGUUCAUAUCGACGGCGGUGUUUGGCACCUCGAUGUCGGCUCAUCACAUCCUGGGGCUGAAGUAGGUCCCAAGGGUAUGGCUGUUCGCCAUUUAAAGUGGUACGCGAGCUGGGUUUAGAACGUCGUGAGACAGUUCGGUCCCUAUCUGCCGUGGGCGCUGGAGAAUUGAGGGGGGCUGCUCCUAGUACGAGAGGACCGGAGUGGACGCAUCACUGGUGUUCGGGUUGUCAUGCCAAUGGCACUGCCCGGUAGCUAAAUGCGGAAGAGAUAAGUGCUGAAAGCAUCUAAGCACGAAACUUGCCCCGAGAUGAGUUCUCCCUGAGACUUUAAGUCUCCUGAAGGAACGUUGAAGACGACGACGUUGAUAGGCCGGGUGUGUAAGCGCAGCGAUGCGUUGAGCUAACCGGUACUAAUGAACCGUGAGGCUUAACCUU